ACUCCUACGGGAGGCAGCAGUGGGGAAUUUUGGACAAUGGGCGAAAGCCUGAUCCAGCAAUGCCGCGUGAGUGAAGAAGGCCUUCGGGUUGUAAAGCUCUUUUGUCAGGGAAGAAACGGUGAAAGCUAAUAUCUUUUGCUAAUGACGGUACCUGAAGAAUAAGCACCGGCUAACUACGUGCCAGCAGCCGCGGUAAUACGUAGGGUGCAAGCGUUAAUCGGAAUUACUGGGCGUAAAGCGUGCGCAGGCGGUUUUGUAAGUCUGAUGUGAAAUCCCCGGGCUCAACCUGGGAAUUGCAUUGGAGACUGCAAGGCUAGAAUCUGGCAGAGGGGGGUAGAAUUCCACGUGUAGCAGUGAAAUGCGUAGAUAUGUGGAGGAACACCGAUGGCGAAGGCAGCCCCCUGGGUCAAGAUUGACGCUCAUGCACGAAAGCGUGGGGAGCAAACAGGAUUAGAAACCCCAGUAGUCCC
This 470-nucleotide ribosomal RNA is filed under the name uncultured organism. RNAcentral's name for it is "partial 16S ribosomal RNA". It matches the Rfam family "Bacterial small subunit ribosomal RNA", at positions 335 to 797 of the family's 1533-position model. The record is from RNAcentral.